CUGCUCACUUUGGCAGCACAUAUACCAAAAUUGGAAUGAUACAGAGAAGAUUAGCAUGGCCCUUGUGAAAGGAUGACACCCCAAAAGCAGGGGAAAAACCUAUACAA
Molecule: small nuclear RNA, 107 nt
Filed under: Canis lupus familiaris (dog)
Lineage: Eukaryota; Metazoa; Chordata; Mammalia; Carnivora; Canidae
Also listed under: 1 other name
Source: RNAcentral